GAUGAAGAACGCAGCGAAAUGCGAUAAGUAAUGCGAAUUGCAGAAUUCAGUGAGUCAUCGAAUCUUUGAACGCACAUUGCGCCCGCCAGCAUUCUGGCGGGCAUGCCUGUUCGAGCGUCAUUUCAACCCUCGACCUCCCCUUGGGGAGGUCGGCGUUGGGGACCGGCAGCACACCGCCGGCCCUGAAAUGGAGUGGCGGCCCGUCCGCGGCGACCUCUGCGCAGUAAUACAGCUCGCACCGGGACCCCGACGCGGCCACGCCGUAAAACACCCAACUUCUGAACGUUGACCUCGAAUCAGGUAGGACUACCCGCUGAACUUAAGCAUAUCAAUAAGCGGAGGA
Molecule: unclassified non-coding RNA, 343 nt
Filed under: soil metagenome
Description: partial contains 5.8S ribosomal RNA, internal transcribed spacer 2, and large subunit ribosomal RNA
Rfam family: 5.8S ribosomal RNA (bases 1-120)
Source: RNAcentral